This 710-nucleotide ribosomal RNA is filed under the name Lichenomphalia hudsoniana. RNAcentral's name for it is "eukaryotic LSU rRNA". The stretch from base 184 to 337 matches the Rfam family "5.8S ribosomal RNA". Lineage: Eukaryota; Fungi; Basidiomycota; Agaricomycetes; Agaricales; Hygrophoraceae. The record is from RNAcentral.
CGAGUUAUUUGACUAUGGGGGGUUGUGCUGGCUUUUUUGGCAAGUGCACACCCCCUGUUGUCUUUCAUCUCAACAUUCACCCCUUUGUGCACUCAAUGUAGACCGGAUUCGAAAGGAGACGCGUCUAUGUAUUUUAAUAUACUUUGUUUACAAGUCACGAAUGUCUUUGAAUGAAAUUAAUACAACUUUCAACAACGGAUCUCUUGGCUCUCCCAUCGAUGAAGAACGCAGCGAAAUGCGAUAAGUAAUGUGAAUUGCAGAAUUCAGUGAAUCAUCGAAUCUUUGAACGCACCUUGCACCCUUUGGUAUUCCGAAGGGUAUGCCUGUUUGAGUGUCAUUGUAUUAUCAACCUUGAACAAGUUUGUAUGCUUGUUUGAUGGCUUGGACUUGGAAGCCUUGCCGGACUCUUUGAAAGAGGUCGGCUCUUCUCAAAUACAUUAGCGAGAUAGUGCUCUUAUGUGGAGCCAGCUCUGGUGUGAUAAAACAUCUACUCCGUAGCUUGGCGAAGCGUCGCAACCAUUCAUUUCCUUUUUCGGCGCAUUAUUGCCAAUUAGGAAACUUGAUGUGGGAGGUGUGCUGCCUAACAGCAGCUCUUCCUGUGCAAACAAGAGUCAGUUUGCUUCUAAUGGUCUUCUUUGAAGAGACAAUGAAAGGGAAAUGAUCCCUUUUGACAACUUGACCUCAAAUCAGGUAGGACUACCCGCUGAACU